Equus caballus (horse) is the source of this 2257-nucleotide RNA transcript. It is a transcript of the gene named bolA family member 3, with no coding region annotated. The record is from RefSeq and is a predicted model, not a curated record. NCBI's taxonomy places the organism in Eukaryota, Metazoa, Chordata, Mammalia, Perissodactyla, Equidae.
GGCAGGGGGCGGCCUCUCCCACGGCGGCGACUCUCGGUCCCGGGCUCCGUGCCUUUCGGGCGACACGGCGACCUCGGGGGACGGGCUGCGUCGGCCGGGCAUGGCGGCGUGGAGCCCGGCCGCAGCAGCUCCUCUGCUCCGCGGGAUCCGCGGGCUUCCUCUUCUCCACUGUGCCCAGCGGAUGUUUGCCUCGCAGACUGAGGGGGAGCUCAAAGUGACCCAAAUUCUCAAAGAAAAGUUUCCUCGAGCAACAGUGAUCAAAGUCACCGACAUUUCAGGAGGCUGUGGGGCAAUGUAUGAAAUCCAAAUCGAGUCAGAAGAAUUUAAGGAGAAGAGAACUGUCCAGCAGCACAGGAUGGUGAAUCAGAGAAUUCACGUCCUGGCAUCGGUGCACUUGAACCUGGAGCAGCUCCGGCCCGGGUCACCACAGCAGCCGCCUGGCCCGGCCGAGCACUGCUUGUGAUGGAGGAGGUGAUGCAGAUCACAGCCAGGCACCCACAGCCACUGGAGCAGGCACUUAAAGAAGAAAUCAAAGGAAUGCAUGGAUUGAGGAUAUUUACCUCCGUCCCCAAACACUGACCACGCCCCGGCUGCAUAGAUGCUGCUGCUUAAAACCUUGGAUGAACUUGACCAUUCUUUCCUAGGCAUUUGCCAAAAAAGUUAUCUAUUUUGUUCAUAGACAUUUCCGUAUUAUAAUUAUAGAAGAAUUUGUUAUCUAUUUAGAUGUUAAUUAAUGGCAACAGACAACUGAAGCUUUUAAAGAGUCAUUAGUCAUGCUUCUAUUUCCUUUAUUUCAAAAGCAAUGUCCUUUUGUCCAAAGUGGUCUCGUUUUUGGACAGUUCUGUCCUGAUGCAACAGAUGCAGGACAGAGUGCCAGCUCCUUUUGUCCUGUCAAGACUCUUUUUUGUUUUUCCUCCCUGAAACUGCUCAGGCCCCUUAAUCUUACCAAAAAGGUAAGAAAAGAAAAGAUCCUUGGAUUUUACUGUUUCCUUAGUUUACCACUGUCUUUCCCUCCCCUCCAUAAGCCUGAACUUGGAUGCUCAGUUUUUUGCUCCCUGGAGUGGACUCUGAGGAUCUGGGGCUGCCAUGAUCAGGAUCUUCUUCCCGUGUCUGAAAAUUCCCCACCCUUUGCAUCUUGGUGGGAGGUGGAGCCUGCCUCCCCGACAGAAGCUGAAAAGGCUUGCUUUCCUAGCUCCCUUGCAAAUAAGGCACAGGCCAAGCUAGACUCAGGCAAUCAGACAGAACUAUGCUGCACUUUGAAUUGGGAGCAAGUGACGCCAAGAAGCAAGGGCAGUGGUGCAUCCACCUGGCAGCCGUGGCACUGAUGUCCGGUGUUCUGGGUGGUGGCAGCAGCAGAGUCAGUGGCCCCUCCUACCUCCCUAAGAAAUAAGAAUAUGUGGGUAAAACAACCUUGAGCCCCAGAGUUUUCGAGCAGCGCAAGUUUUACAUGUUCUGUUCACGUACUGUGUCCCCAUUUUUUGGUUUAAAAAUAUUCUGUAUCUCUAUGGUGGGGUGAAGGGCUUGGUGUCCUGCCAGGGCAAAGCUGCCUUUUACGUGGAAUAGAGUCGCUCAGUUGUGUCAGAGCUGAGUAGACAGGAUAAAACGAACUCCUGAGGGCCUGAGACAUCUGUGAAAGCUAGACACCCCCCAGAGGCCAGCUUUUAGGUGGUGCAGUGAGGAAACACCUAAGACUGGAGUUCCUGAAGCCAGAAGGCAGCGGUCAGCGAGAACAGAGAGACGACAGAAUUAUACGUAUGUUGAUUGCACGAAUGGAGUCUAAUUGUCCUCCUCUUUAAGGUGAACUGCACCUAGUCACCUGCUUCUACAGGACAGAAUAAGGUGGAAGUGACAAUACACAGCCUCAGAACUAGGUCAUAAAAGGCACUGUGGCCUCCUUCUUGAUUUCUCUUGGAUUCCUGGCUCGAGGAGAGGGUAGCUGCCAUGUUGUGAGGACACUCAAGCAGUCUGUGGAGAAGCCCAGGGGAGCACCCGAGGCCUCUUACCAACAGGCAAGGAAACAGGCCUGCCAAACGCCAGCAGGGAACUGAGCCUUCUGUCAGGACGAGAGCCAUGUGGGUGAGCCAUCUUGGAAGUGGAUCCUUCCAAGUCACAGUCACAAUCAAGCCUUCAGAAAACUGUAGCCCCAGCUGAUAUCUUGACUGCAACCCAAGCCAGAACCACCCAGCUAAGCUACUCCCCAAUUCCUGACCAACAGAAACCGUGAGAUAAUAAAUGUUGGUUCUUUUAAGCCACUAAA